RNAcentral lists this ribosomal RNA (451 nucleotides) under Plectostoma retrovertens. RNAcentral describes it as "partial large subunit ribosomal RNA". It matches the Rfam family "Bacterial large subunit ribosomal RNA", at positions 1942 to 2609 of the family's 2925-position model. The record is from RNAcentral. Lineage: Eukaryota; Metazoa; Mollusca; Gastropoda; Architaenioglossa; Diplommatinidae.
CUGACUGUGCGAAGGUAGCAUAAUAAUUUGCCUUUUAAUUAAAGGAUAGAAUGAAUGGCUUGACGAAGAUAUAACUGUCUCAUAUGUAUUUAUUAAAAAUUAAUUUUUAGGUUAAAAAGCCUAAAUAAAAUUAAAAGACGAGAAGACCCUAUUAAGCUUAAAAGAAACUUUUGAUUAUUAUUAUACAUUUAGAUAUAACAUCAAUAGUGAAAUUUUAGUUGGGGCGACUUGGGAGCAAAAAAAACCUCCUUGAUUUAGUUAAAAUUUUGAUUUUUGGUCCAAAGAAUUUUGAGUUAAGAACAAGCUACUAUAGGGAUAACAGCGUAAUUUUAUUUAAGAGUUCUAAUCGAAAAUAAAGUUUGCGACCUCGAUGUUGGAUUAAGAAGUAAUAAGGGUUGUAGAAGCUCUUGUAAUUAGUCUGUUCGACUAUUAAUAUCUUACAUGAUCUGAG